AACGUAGGAGGCGAGCGUUGUCCGGAUUUACUGGGCGUAAAGAGCGCGUAGGCGGCUUCACAAGUCAGGUGUGAAAUCUCCCGGCUUAACUGGGAGGGGUCAUUUGAAACUGUGGGGCUAGAGUGCAGUAGAGGGAGACAGAAUUCCCGGUGUAGUGGUGAAAUGCGUAGAUAUCGGGAGGAAUACCAGUGGCGAAGGCGGUCUCCUGGGCUGUUACUGACGCUGAGGUGCGAAAGCGUGGGGAG
Molecule: ribosomal RNA, 245 nt
Filed under: uncultured Chloroflexota bacterium
Lineage: Bacteria; Bacillati; Chloroflexota
Description: uncultured Chloroflexi bacterium partial 16S ribosomal RNA
Rfam family: Bacterial small subunit ribosomal RNA
Source: RNAcentral